RNAcentral lists this ribosomal RNA (1361 nucleotides) under uncultured bacterium. RNAcentral describes it as "bacterial SSU rRNA". It matches the Rfam family "Bacterial small subunit ribosomal RNA", at positions 28 to 1381 of the family's 1533-position model. The record is from RNAcentral.
GAUGAACGCUAGCUACAGGCUUAACACAUGCAAGUCGAGGGGCAGCAUGGUCUUAGCUUGCUAAGGCCGAUGGCGACCGGCGCACGGGUGAGUAACGCGUAUCCAACCUGCCUUACACUCUUGGACAGCCUUCUGAAAGGGAGAUUAAUACAAGAUGUUAUCAUGAGUAAGCAUUUUCGCAUGAUUAAAGGUUUACCGGUGUAAGAUGGGGAUGCGUUCCAUUAGAUAGUAGGCGGGGUAACGGCCCACCUAGUCUUCGAUGGAUAGGGGUUCUGAGAGGAAGGUCCCCCACAUUGGAACUGAGACACGGUCCAAACUCCUACGGGAGGCAGCAGUGAGGAAUAUUGGUCAAUGGACGAGAGUCUGAACCAGCCAAGUAGCGUGAAGGAUGAAGGUUCUAUGGAUUGUAAACUUCUUUUAUACGGGAAUAAACGGAUCCACGUGUGGAUUUUUGCAUGUACCGUAUGAAUAAGGAUCGGCUAACUCCGUGCCAGCAGCCGCGGUAAUACGGAGGAUCCGAGCGUUAUCCGGAUUUAUUGGGUUUAAAGGGAGCGUAGAUGGGUUGUUAAGUCAGUUGUGAAAGUUUGCGGCUCAACCGUAAAAUUGCAAUCGAUACUGGCAGUCUUGAGUACAGUUGAGGUAGGCGGAAUUCGUGGUGUAGCGGUGAAAUGCUUAGAUAUCACGAAGAACUCCGAUUGCGAAGGCAGCUUACUAACCUGUAACUGACAUUGAUGCUCGAAAGUGUGGGUAUCAAACAGGAUUAGAUACCCUGGUAGUCCACACGGUAAACGAUGAAUACUCGCUGUAGGCGAUAUACAGUCUGCGGCCAAGCGAAAGCAUUAAGUAUUCCACCUGGGGAGUACGCCGGCAACGGUGAAACUCAAAGGAAUUGACGGGGGCCCGCACAAGCGGAGGAACAUGUGGUUUAAUUCGAUGAUACGCGAGGAACCUUACCCGGGCUUAAAUUGCAACCGAAUAUGGCGGAAACGCUAUAGCUAGCAAUAGCGGUUGUGAAGGUGCUGCAUGGUUGUCGUCAGCUCGUGCCGUGAGGUGUCGGCUUAAGUGCCAUAACGAGCGCAACCCUUGCCGAUAGUUACUAACAGGUUAUGCUGAGGACUCUGUCGGGACUGCCAUCGUAAGAUGUGAGGAAGGUGGGGAUGACGUCAAAUCAGCACGGCCCUUACGUCCGGGGCUACACACGUGUUACAAUGGGGGGGUACAGAGGGCUGCUACCACGCAAGUGGAUGCCAAUCCCAAAAACCUCUCUCAGUUCGGAUUGAAGUCUGCAACCCGACUUCAUGAAGCUGGAUUCGCUAGUAAUCGCGUAUCAGCCACGGCGCGGUGAAUACGUUCCCGGGCCU